UUCUCUUCCUCUUCUCCAUCCAACCCAGUCAAAUCAGCCGCACGUGCGCAGGCCGUGGUGGCUGACCAGGGCGGCACCCCCUAAUCGGCGAGGAACCCAGAGCACGCCGUGGCUGGCGCCUUGGAGCUCCUCUGCCGUCGGCCUGAUCUGUCUAUCCUCUCAAGUCACCGGCCCCGUGGGCCAGCAGCCUCGCCUCCGACCCGAUUCGGACCGCCCAGCCUUCGCCACCUGCGCCAUGCCACAGAGGUUCGGCCGAUCCCGCGAGCCGCCCAUUCUUGAUUCCUCCUCUGCUCGCGGCUAGCGUAGACUGCAAAAGGCCACAGGUCUCAUCCAACCGCACCCUCUCACUGCCUUGCUCCUCCAACUCUCCCUUCUUCCUCCCCUACCUACCAGUCAGGGCUCUCUCCCUCUCCCGCUUCCCUUCGCCGCAGCUUUGCAACAUAUUUUCCCUUCGCCGCAGGACUCCACGAGGAGUGCGCUGCUGCGGGUGUCUGGCCAAGAAGCCGCGCGCUGGGUGAUGUGGAGGACGACGACCUGCUGCUUCCUCAAUCUCAUCCUCCUUGCCAAGGAGAUGGGGAGCGGCAGCACGCCAAGGUUGUUUCCUACUUUGAGCGCUCGGUGUGGGUGGCGCGGCCGCCGGAUUUUAACUCUAUGGAGGGUCUGGGAUGGGGAGCAGGACAUGUUGGAGAUUGAGGAGCUUGCGAGUGGCGCCAGAGAAGAUUUGGAGAGGAUGGGGAGGGUAAGAAGAACAUGGCGGCAGAGGGCGACAGGACCAGCACAAGCCGGAGAGGACUCGCGGUGGUGGAAGCCCGAGAAGGAGCGGAGGGUUUUAUUUGUAGGGUUCUAUUUGUAAAAACGAAACGUUUUUCCAGAUUCACUAAAAUAGGGAUGGCGGGUUACCGCCAGUCGACGCCGCGC
Triticum dicoccoides is the source of this 918-nucleotide long non-coding RNA. RefSeq lists it as uncharacterized. The transcript is spliced from 2 exons. The record is from RefSeq and is a predicted model, not a curated record. Lineage: Eukaryota; Viridiplantae; Streptophyta; Magnoliopsida; Poales; Poaceae.